CAUUACAGAAAACAAAUUCCAUAUAUACGGACAAGCAAGUAAGCCAACAACCAAAAAAAAUGGAGAAACAAAUAUUUUAGAUGUUUAUAAUCGAAUAACAAGACAGAAGCCUUAAAAAAAUGGAGAUAAACAAUACUAGAGGUUUACCAUCCAAUAAAACAGGCUGACGCUUUAAGAUUCUUUCACAAGUCAUUCAUUUCGUCAAAAAUCAAAAUGGGUAGACGUAACCUGUCGUAAUCCCUUCGGUCAGGUCGUGCAUUAGGUGAAUUGAUAGUAUCAAGCACUAAGUGAUAAAAGUUAAUGUGAUGACAAAGUGAUUUUACGAAGUACAAUCCCAGAUGCCACUACACAAGUAAGAAGCCCCCAUGAUCUUACUCGGUGAAGAUAGCAUCCCCCACCGAAGCAAGAAAGGCAUGACAGCUCGGCGGUGACUCUACCUCCCGAGAGCACCGUCCGAUCACAAACUCGAGGCAUCAAAAAUGUGCAAACAGUUAGACCAAUCUGAUUCAAAUCAAACAGAAAAUUAGAAUUAACCAUGCUCCAUCAGCUUGCCUUACAGAGAGAUCGAUUAAUUAAUAACCAUUGCAUGGUAAAAAAACAAUAAUAAUAAUAUGGGCAUGAGCUGAAGUCUUAAACAACACGCAUCAGACGAAUUCGUGAACCAAAACUAUCGUUUGCAAGAUUAUGUACAAAAUUACACCCACUUGAUAAGGUUUUAUGUUAUUGUGUACCAACAAUACCAUUUACUCUCUAAGAUUUUCACGUUGUAAGAUCUCGCGCGUUGAAGUGAAUCAUUAUGAAGUGUAAGGCCAUUUGAACCAAAACAUAGUAAAAAAUAAUAAUUUAGCAAUGUGCUUCAAUAUUUGAUAUAGCUAAAAGGUCCCCUUGGUAAGAACACACAUGACAUCCAUUGAACAUUGCACAGAUGCAUUUUUUUCACACUGAUGUUGGAUGUUCGCAUUACUAUUCUCAUAGAAAAAAUUUCAUAUAUACAGACGCUACUAUAGUGAGUAAGCGAAAAAAAGAGAGAAACAAUGCUAAACAUUUACAGAAUAGAAAAAUAACAAGACGAAAGCCACAAACAACAAAAAAAAAUGAGAGAAACAAUAAUAGAUGUUUACCAUCAAAUCUUUAUCUUUAUAAAAAUUGAAGAUAUUUCUAUCAGCCGUUUGAUGCAUCGCCUGUAUCCAGUUUAACGUGAAUAACUAUUAUAUAUCCUCCUCCUAGCCUAGCCCAACCGACCCACACCAUAGUGCCGCUCUGCUUGCGCUCCUCUCCCAAUCAGUACCUUUUUUCUCUCCAUUUUUUCACUUUAUUUUUCUUCCAAUCAUCCUGAUCCUCUCCCUCUUCUUCUGAUCUCCUUUUUCUUCCGAUCAUCCUGAUCAUGUCCCUCUUCUUCUGAUCUUCUCUCCAUUAUCCUCUUUUUCUUUUUUUUCCUCUUUUUUUUCUCUUCCUAAUAUCUCUCGUAAAUACUUUCCUUUUGAAAUUAUCGUUGUUUAAGGUAGGUAUGAUGUUACUUUGCAAAUGCCCAAUCUACAGUAAAAAAACCUUUCACAAAUUGAAUAAUCAAAAUUUCAAUCUUUGGUCGAUGAUAAUAUCUCUUUAGCAAUCUAUAGCAAAUACCCAUGCAUCAAUUUACGGAUUAGCCACCCGAUCGAUUUGUGAGGCUAUUAAAAGGUGUAUAUAAGGGAUUUUUCGUAUGAUGAUGCAUGAAGCGAGCGCAACUGGAUUCAAUGCUAUAUGAUUUCUAACUUUGUUUUUCAUUGUUUUGUUUAUCUUGUUUCGUUUUAUCAUUUGAAUUGGCCGAGUUUUUAUCCAUCAUGAAAAUUAUAUUCACCUAUUGCAACGGACAUGCAUUUUUGCUAGUAAAAAAAAGGCUUGCUUUAAGAUUCUUUCACUAGUCAUUUAGUUUAAUCAAAAAUUAAAAAAAAAAGCUAGGGGGAUCCUAUCUUGAUCCCUCUAGUCAGGUUGUACAUUAGGCGAAUUGAUUUUAUCAAGUACUAGGUGGAAAAAAUUGUGAUGACAAAGCUACCCAACGAAGUACGCUCCAGUCGCCACUACAGAAAUAAAAAAUCUCCCAUGAGACUGGUCUCACUCGGUGAAGAUAGCAUUCCAAUGAUACAAGAAAGAUAUACCAGAUAGGUUGCAUCUCUAUCUCCAGUAGAGUAUGCGUACCGAUCUUCUACUUGAGACAUCAGUCCUAUCUUACUAUAUGAUUGGUGUCCACUAGCUCCUAAGGCUUAAUAUGACAGUGUGUCACAUUAUCACUAUCAUCCACUAGUAAUUAUUAUUUAAAAUAUUUGAAAUAUCAUUUAUAAUUUUGUUAUAUUUUUAAAACUCAAUAGGUAAAUAAUAUCAAAUCAUUAUCUUCAUAUUUUUUUCACACUUUUUAAACAGAUACAUCUACUAUUUUUAUAACGUAUAGUAUGCAUUCAUCUACAUAUAUCCCGCAGCAAAGCGUGAGAAAUUAACUGUAGUAGUUAACUAGACCGACAUAAUUCAAAUAGAACAGCAAAUAGAAUUAACUCGUCAGCACCAUCGAUAUGUCUUUCUUAGAUUGAUUAAUUAAAUAUCAGCAGGCGGAUCUAACUUGGGACCUGGGUCCAGUCUAACUUGGGAUUUGGUACACUAGGGUUAGGUGGGUGUCAGAGAGAGAUGAAUGAGAGAGGGAGGAUGUGCAUAACGGAUGGGAUUGCUUACCAGGAUGGAUAUGGCGCGGCGGGACGACGGCCGGCGUCGCGGCCUGCUUGCGAGAUAGAUCGGCGGCGUAAGGUGUGGGCGAACUCGGAAGGAAGGGAGACGACACGGGAGUUGACGGCUUGACCUAGAUGGCUAGAAAUUUUCGUC
This 2847-nucleotide long non-coding RNA is filed under the name Oryza sativa (Asian cultivated rice). Its description in RNAcentral is "long non-coding RNA (OSAT_LNC001392)". The record is from RNAcentral. Lineage: Eukaryota; Viridiplantae; Streptophyta; Magnoliopsida; Poales; Poaceae.